This 942-nucleotide long non-coding RNA is filed under the name Androctonus crassicauda. Lineage: Eukaryota; Metazoa; Arthropoda; Arachnida; Scorpiones; Buthidae. The record is from RNAcentral.
GUAAGUAGUAACAACAGAUUCAUUUGAUCUCACGAAUGCUGCAAUUUAUCAUCUUCAUUCUUUCCAAAUUUGAUUUCCGCGAAAUUCUUUCCUUCUACCUUUUAUCCUCCCAUUUCAAAAUCUCUAUAGAAGUUGUUACAUUAUCCUAUCAUUGUCCAUAUGAAGUUUACAGUGUAGGAAUGCCGAAGAGAGAAAAUUGCUGUUUCCCCGCAGGGAUAUUACUACCCAGACGUCCUAAUGACGUCUUCCCUCCCUGAUUUUUUCUGUCGUUUUGACGAUGACGGCUUUCGCAGAGAACGUUCGUCCAGAGGAAUGCUGUUGGGACAAGAUCUAUAAGAAUGACAAAGGAAAAAGAUGUUCGAGAUUGUUCCCUAAAAACAGCAGACAAUUGGAAGUUUGAUAUUAGAUAUACAGCUUAUCCCAUUAAAACAUUUACAAACAUGCUACCUUUUUAUUUUAUUUUAUUUUUUACAUUAAGCCAAUUUGAUGACCGGGAUCUUCAUCCUUUCAAGCCAUUCCGACGGGCUAUUGUUAUGGUUUACUAUUUCACUAUGGGGUCGGUUACGUCAGAAGUCAAAUUCAGUCAAAAUGCAGCCGCACCAAUUUCGCGUACAGAUAAAAAGGACACAAUAGUUAGCGUGUGACAGGAAAUGCUACUUCCCGAACUCGUGUCACGUGAUAUUAUUAUCAUCCUACAGGAAACUCCAGCUGUUUCCGCACAACCAAAUUAAACUCUGAGUGUAUUAUGAAAUAUGCCUAGUAGUUAUCAGUUUUACAUUAAAAAAAAAAAAACUUCCGUAAUACGUACAUACCUAAAGAUAUCAUCAUCGCAAUUUUACAAAAUUUGCGAAAACCCUGUUAGUAAUUCUUUUAUCUUAAAAUUUCAGAAAAAAAUGCAAUCUUCUAUAUCGUACCUGGGAAAGAAUUAUAUGAUAUAUACUG